Molecule: ribosomal RNA, 1396 nt
Filed under: Halopseudomonas sabulinigri
Lineage: Bacteria; Pseudomonadati; Pseudomonadota; Gammaproteobacteria; Pseudomonadales; Pseudomonadaceae
Description: bacterial SSU rRNA
Rfam family: Bacterial small subunit ribosomal RNA
Source: RNAcentral
UGCAGUCGAGCGGUAGAAGGAAGCUUGCUUCCUUUGAGAGCGGCGGACGGGUGAGUAAUGCCUAGGAAUCUGCCUGGUAGUGGGGGAUAACGUUCGGAAACGGACGCUAAUACCGCAUACGUCCUACGGGAGAAAGCAGGGGACCUUCGGGCCUUGCGCUAUCAGAUGAGCCUAGGUCGGAUUAGCUUGUUGGUGAGGUAAUGGCUCACCAAGGCAACGAUCCGUAACUGGUCUGAGAGGAUGAUCAGUCACACUGGAACUGAGACACGGUCCAGACUCCUACGGGAGGCAGCAGUGGGGAAUAUUGGACAAUGGGCGAAAGCCUGAUCCAGCCAUGCCGCGUGUGUGAAGAAGGUCUUCGGAUUGUAAAGCACUUUAAGUUGGGAGGAAGGGUUGUAGCCUAAUACGCUGCAACUUUGACGUUACCGACAGAAUAAGCACCGGCUAACUCUGUGCCAGCAGCCGCGGUAAUACAGAGGGUGCAAGCGUUAAUCGGAAUUACUGGGCGUAAAGCGCGCGUAGGUGGCAAAGUAAGAUGGGUGUGAAAUCCCCGGGCUCAACCUGGGAACUGCAUCCAUAACUGCUUCGCUAGAGUACGGUAGAGGGUAGUGGAAUUUCCUGUGUAGCGGUGAAAUGCGUAGAUAUAGGAAGGAACACCAGUGGCGAAGGCGACUACCUGGACUGAUACUGACACUGAGGUGCGAAAGCGUGGGGAGCAAACAGGAUUAGAUACCCUGGUAGUCCACGCCGUAAACGAUGUCAACUAGCCGUUGGAAUCCUUGAGAUUUUAGUGGCGCAGCUAACGCACUAAGUUGACCGCCUGGGGAGUACGGUCGCAAGAUUAAAACUCAAAUGAAUUGACGGGGGCCCGCACAAGCGGUGGAGCAUGUGGUUUAAUUGAAGCAACGCGAAGAACCUUACCUGGCCUUGACAUGCUGAGAACUUUCCAGAGAUGGAUUGGUGCCUUCGGGAACUCAGACACAGGUGUGCAUGGCUGUGUCAGCUCGUGUCGUGAGAUGUUGGGUUAAGUCCCGUAACGAGCGCAACCCUUGUCCUUAGUUACCAGCACAUUAUGGUGGGCACUCUAAGGAGACUGCCGGUGACAAACCGGAGGAAGGUGGGGAUGACGUCAAGUCAUCAUGGCCCUUACGGCCAGGGCUACACACGUGCUACAAUGGGGGGUACAGAGGGUUGCCAAGCCGCGAGGUGGAGCUAAUCCCGAAAAGCCUCUCGUAGUCCGGAUUGGAGUCUGCAACUCGACUCCAUGAAGUCGGAAUCGCUAGUAAUCGCGAAUCAGAACGUCGCGGUGAAUACGUUCCCGGGCCUUGUACACACCGCCCGUCACACCAUGGGAGUGGGUUGCACCAGAAGUAGCUAGUCUAACCUUCGGGAGGAC